GGAGGUGUAGCUCAGAGGUAGAGUGUGUGCUUAGCAUGCACAGGGCCUGGGUUCAAACCCCAGCACACUCA
RNAcentral lists this transfer RNA (71 nucleotides) under Ictidomys tridecemlineatus (thirteen-lined ground squirrel). Its description in RNAcentral is "Spermophilus tridecemlineatus (thirteen-lined ground squirrel) tRNA". It matches the Rfam family "tRNA". Rfam says of the family: Transfer RNA (tRNA) molecules are approximately 80 nucleotides in length. Their secondary structure includes four short double-helical elements and three loops (D, anti-codon, and T loops). Lineage: Eukaryota; Metazoa; Chordata; Mammalia; Rodentia; Sciuridae. The record is from Rfam by way of RNAcentral.